GCCUACGGGAGGCAGCAGUGGGGAAUAUUGCGCAAUGGGGGAAACCCUGACGCAGCGAUGCCGCGUGGGUGAAGAAGGCCUUCGGGUCGUAAAGCCCUGUCAGGCGGGAAGAAUAGGCAGGCGGUUAAUACCCGCUUGCUGUGACGGUACCGCUGAAGGAAGCACCGGCUAACUCCGUGCCAGCAGCCGCGGUAAGACGGAGGGUGCGAGCGUUAUUCGGAAUUAUUGGGCGUAAAGAGCGUGUAGGCGGUCGGCCAAGCCAGAUGUGAAAGCCCAGGGCUUAACCCUGGAAGUGCAUUUGGAACUGGUCGACUUGAGUUCGGGAGAGGAAAGCGGAAUUCCGGGUGUAGAGGUGAAAUUCGUAGAUAUCCGGAGGAACACCGGUGGCGAAGGCGGCUUUCUGGACCGAAACUGACGCUGAGACGCGAAAGCGUGGGGAGCAAACAGGCUUAGAUACCCUGGUAGU
This 466-nucleotide ribosomal RNA is filed under the name uncultured bacterium. Its description in RNAcentral is "bacterial SSU rRNA". It matches the Rfam family "Bacterial small subunit ribosomal RNA", at positions 337 to 794 of the family's 1533-position model. The record is from RNAcentral.